GACGAACGCUGGCGGCGUGCCUAAUACAUGCAAGUAGGACGCAGUUGCGAACGGGUGAGUAACGCGUAGGUAACUGCCUAUUAGAGGGGGAUAACUAUUGGAAACGAUAGCUAAUACCGCAUACUAGUAGCUGGACCUGCGUUGUAUUAUCUAGUAGGGAGGGUAAUGGCCUACCUAGGCGACGAUACAUAGCCGACCUGAGAUGGUGAUCGGCCAAACUGGGACGGAGACACGGCCCAGACUCCUACGGGAGGCAGCAGUAGGGAAUCUUCGGCAAUGGGGGGAACGCUGACCGAGCAACGCCGCGUGAUUGAAGAAGGUUUUCGGAUCGUAAAGCUCUGUUGUGAAGGAAGCGGUACUUAACCAGAAAGGGACGGCUAACUACGUGCCAGCAGCCGCGGUAAUUC
This 407-nucleotide ribosomal RNA is filed under the name uncultured bacterium. RNAcentral describes it as "partial 16S ribosomal RNA". It matches the Rfam family "Bacterial small subunit ribosomal RNA", at positions 28 to 526 of the family's 1533-position model. The record is from RNAcentral.